RNAcentral lists this ribosomal RNA (292 nucleotides) under uncultured bacterium. RNAcentral describes it as "partial 16S ribosomal RNA". The record is from RNAcentral.
GGACUACAGGGGUAUCUAAUCCCGUUCGCUCCCCUAGCUUUCGCGCCUCAGUGUCAGGGACAGACCAGAGAGCCGCCUUCGCCACAGGUGUUCCUCCUGAUAUCUACGCAUUUCACCGCUACACCAGGAAUUCCACUCUCCUCUUCUGUCCUCAAGUCAGACAGUAUCAAGCGACAUCUCCAAGUUAAGCUUAGAGUUUUCACGCUCGACUUAUCCGACCACCUACACGCCCUUUACGCCCAGUAAUUCCGGACAACGCUCGCUACCUCUGUAUUACCGCGGCUGCUGGCAC